This 71-nucleotide transfer RNA is filed under the name Canthophrys gongota (Gongota loach). RNAcentral's name for it is "tRNA-Arg". It matches the Rfam family "tRNA". Rfam says of the family: Transfer RNA (tRNA) molecules are approximately 80 nucleotides in length. Their secondary structure includes four short double-helical elements and three loops (D, anti-codon, and T loops). Further hydrogen bonds mediate the characteristic L-shaped molecular structure. tRNAs have two regions of fundamental functional importance: the anti-codon, which is responsible for specific mRNA codon recognition, and the 3' end, to which the tRNAs corresponding amino acid is attached (by aminoacyl-tRNA synthetases). tRNAs cope with the degeneracy of the genetic code in two manners: having more than one tRNA (with a specific anti-codon) for a particular amino acid; and 'wobble' base-pairing, i.e. permitting non-standard base-pairing at the 3rd anti-codon position. Lineage: Eukaryota; Metazoa; Chordata; Actinopteri; Cypriniformes; Cobitidae. The record is from RNAcentral.
AGAAGGUUAGUCCAACAGUAAGACCUCUGAUUUCGGCUCAGAAAAUUAUGGUUUAAUUCCAUAACCUUCUU